This 422-nucleotide unclassified non-coding RNA is filed under the name Hevea brasiliensis (rubber tree). Lineage: Eukaryota; Viridiplantae; Streptophyta; Magnoliopsida; Malpighiales; Euphorbiaceae. The record is from RNAcentral.
UGUACAAAUAUAAUAAGUAGAGAACCAGUCAAGUUUUGAAGUGUGCUUAGCCCUAAAUAAGAAAAUCACCUGCUAGCUCAAACUGCAUACUGGAGUAUUGUAACUUAAUUGACAUCACAAAUUGAAAAUAACUACUUUCUUCUGGUUUAAAAACAGAUAAUGCAUGAGGACUGAUGAUGAGAAAAAUGUUUAAAAGAUGAGGUUUAUUAGCUCAACAAUUGCCAAUUUGGUUAAAAUCAUCAGAACCAAAGAAGUUGAAUAAAAUCUGGAAAUUCCACAUGUAACUAGCCAGUUUAUGACUUGCAAACAUGUGCCAUACAUUGUGUUUAUAGCUUAUACCAGUCAUAGAAGGAAUAUGGCCAUUAUAGAAAAAAUGUACCAUUAUAUGUUUAUUACCCCUUUCUCCAAUUCUUUUUAUUGGA